CCAGGGGAUGCUUAAUACGGCGAGUGAGCGGUAAAAGCUCAAAUUUGAAAUCCGCGUACUUUCUGUGCCCGAAUUGUAAUUUGUACAAGUUGUCUUUGAUUAAGUCCUUGGCUAUGUUCCUUGCAACAGGACGACAUACCAGGGUGACAAUCCCGCUCGGCCAGCAUACCUUUUCUCUGUCAGACUUUUUCGAAAAGGCGAGUUGUUUGGGAAUGCAACUUCAAAGUGGGUGGUAAAUUCCAUCUAAAGCUAAAUAUUGGCGAGAGACCGAAGCGAAGAUGUACAGUGAUGGAAAGAUGAAAAGAACUUUGAAAAGAAAGUGAAAAAGUGCGUGGAAUUGUUGAAAGGGAAGGGCAUGUGAUCACACCUGGUGUUUUUUGCAUGCACUCGCCUCUGAGGGCUUGGGCCUCUAAAAAUUCCACUGGGCCAACAUCAAUUCUGGCCGCAGGAUAAAUCAUUAAGAAGGUAGCUACUUGGGUGCUGUUCUACCUUUCUGAAAAACGGACCACCGGGAUUGAGGACUGCGCUUCGGCAAGGAUGUUGGCUAAUGGUUAAAUGCCGCCCGUCUAAAAACGGACCAAUCCAAAAAAAAACAAAAAAAAAAAAAAAAAAAAAAAA
RNAcentral lists this ribosomal RNA (618 nucleotides) under Hanseniaspora sp. RNAcentral's name for it is "partial large subunit ribosomal RNA". It matches the Rfam family "Eukaryotic large subunit ribosomal RNA", at positions 68 to 664 of the family's 3401-position model. Lineage: Eukaryota; Fungi; Ascomycota; Saccharomycetes; Saccharomycodales; Saccharomycodaceae. The record is from RNAcentral.